AAAACGACUCUCGGCAACGGAUAUCUCGGCUCUCGCAUCGAUGAAGAACGUAGCGAAAUGCGAUACUUGGUGUGAAUUGCAGAAUCCCGUGAACCAUCGAGUCUUUGAACGCAAGUUGCGCCCCAAGCCGUUAGGCCGAGGGCACACCUGCCUGGGUGUCAC
This 162-nucleotide ribosomal RNA is filed under the name Acer palmatum subsp. palmatum. RNAcentral describes it as "5.8S ribosomal RNA". It matches the Rfam family "5.8S ribosomal RNA". From Rfam's summary of the family: 5.8S ribosomal RNA (5.8S rRNA) is a component of the large subunit of the eukaryotic ribosome. Lineage: Eukaryota; Viridiplantae; Streptophyta; Magnoliopsida; Sapindales; Sapindaceae. The record is from RNAcentral.